UGGGCCGAGCUGGAUUUGAACCAGCGUAGACAUAUCGUCAACGAAUUUACAGUCCGUCCCCAUUAACCGCUCGGG
Molecule: transfer RNA, 75 nt
Filed under: Bambusa multiplex (hedge bamboo)
Lineage: Eukaryota; Viridiplantae; Streptophyta; Magnoliopsida; Poales; Poaceae
Also listed under: 110 other names
Description: tRNA-Tyr
Source: RNAcentral